CGGAGGAUCCAAGCGUUAUCCGGAUUUAUUGGGUUUUAAAGGGUGCGUAGGCGGCCCGUUAAGUCAGGGGGUGAAAGACGGUAGCUCAACUAUCGCAGUGCCUUUGAUACUGACGGGCUUGAAUGAACUAGAGGUAGGCGGAAUGAGACAAGUAGCGGUGAAAUGCAUAGAUAUGUCUCAGAACACCGAUUGCGAAGGCAGCUUACUAUGGUUUAAUUGACGCUGAGGCACGAAAGCGUGGGGAUCAAACAGGAUU
Molecule: ribosomal RNA, 256 nt
Filed under: uncultured bacterium
Lineage: Bacteria
Description: partial 16S ribosomal RNA
Rfam family: Bacterial small subunit ribosomal RNA
Source: RNAcentral